This 451-nucleotide ribosomal RNA is filed under the name uncultured bacterium. RNAcentral describes it as "partial 16S ribosomal RNA". It matches the Rfam family "Bacterial small subunit ribosomal RNA", at positions 29 to 523 of the family's 1533-position model. The record is from RNAcentral.
AACGAACGCUGGCGGCAGGCCUAACACAUGCAAGUCGAACGGACGUAGCAAUACGUUAGUGGCGCACGGGAGAGUAACGCGUGGGAACCUACCUUUUGGUUCGGGAUAACAUCGGGAAACUGGUGCUAAUACCGGAUAAGCCCUUCGGGGGAAAGAUUUAUUGCCGAAAGAUGGGCCCGCGUUGGAUUAGCUAGUUGGUGAGGUAAUGGCUCACCAAGGCAACGAUCCAUAGCUGGUCUGAGAGGAUGAUCAGCCUCACUGGGACUGAGACACGGCCCAGACUCCUAUGGGAGGCAGCAGUGGGGAAUAUUGGACAAUGGGGGAAACCCUGAUCCAGCCAUGCCGCGUGGAUGAUGAAGGCCUUCGGGUUGUAAAGUUCUUUUGGUGGGGACGAUGAUGACGGUACCCACAGAAUAAGCUCCGGCUAACUUCGUGCCAGCAGCCGCCGUAA